Molecule: ribosomal RNA, 1421 nt
Filed under: uncultured Bordetella sp.
Lineage: Bacteria; Pseudomonadati; Pseudomonadota; Betaproteobacteria; Burkholderiales; Alcaligenaceae
Description: partial 16S-23S ribosomal RNA intergenic spacer
Rfam family: Bacterial small subunit ribosomal RNA
Source: RNAcentral
GGUUUGAUUCUGGCUCAGAUUGAGCGCUGGCGGGAUGCUUUACACAUGCAAGUCGAACGGCAGCACGGACUUCGGUCUGGUGGCGAGUGGCGAACGGGUGAGUAAUGUAUCGGAACGUGCCUAGUAGCGGGGGAUAACUACGCAGCGCCAUCAUACCACAUACGCCCUUCGAGAAAGCAGGGGACCUUCGGGCCUCGCAUUAUUAGAGCGGCCGAUAUCGGAUUGGCUAGUUGGUGGGGUAACGGCUCACCAAGGCGACGAUCCGUAGCUGGUUUGAGAGGACGACCAGCCACACUGGGACUGAGACACGGCCCAGACUCCUACGGGAGAGCAGCAGUGGGGAAUUUUGGACAAUGGAAACUGGUCAGCCAUCCCGCGUGCGAUGAAGGCCUUCGGGUUGUAAAGCACUUUUGGCAGGAAAAGCAGCACAGGAUAAUACCCCGUGCAACUGACGGUACCCAGAAUAAGCACCGGCUAACUACGUACCAGCAGCCGCGGUAAUACGUAGGGUGCAAGCGUUAAUCGGAAUUACUGGGCGUAAAGCGUGCGCGGGCGGUUCGGAAAAGAAAAGAUGUGAAAUCCCGAGCUUAACUUUGGAACUGCAUUUUUAACUACCGAGCUAGAGUGUGUCAGAGGAGGUGGAAUUCCGCGUGUAGCAGUGAAAUGCGUAGAUAUGCGGAGGAACACCGAUAGCGAAGGCAGCCGCCUCCUGGGAUAACACUGGCUGCACAGUGAUAGGGCAAACAGGAUGAUACCUGACGUGCACCUAAACGUGUCAAAACUGUGCGAGGCUGGCAGGUGGCCGCAGCGGCAUGAAGUUGACUGCAAGGUACGGUUGCGGGCCAACUCAAAGGGUGUUGUGAGACCCGCGCACAAGCGGUGGGUGUGUGGAUUGUUUCAGUGCAUGCAAAAAACCACCUACCGACAUAUCCACUGGAAUCCGAAGAGAUUGCAGGUGCUGCGCAAGGAACUGAACACCGGUGCCCGCACCGGCUGUAUUAUUCGUAGCCGUGAGACGAGUGAUCCGCCAUGAAGCGCCACCUGUCAUAGAUUGCCACGAAGGCACCUCUGUUGGGACUGCCGGUGACAAGCCGGAGGAAAAAUGGGAUGACGUCAGUCCUCAUGGCCCAUAUGGGUAGGGCUUCACACGUCAUACAAUGGUCAGGACAGAGGGUCGCCAACCCGCGAGGGGGAGCCAAUCCCAGAAACCCGAUCGUAGUCCGGAUCGCAGUCUGCAACUCGACUGCGUGAAGUCGGAAUCGCUAGUAAUCGCGGAUCAGCAUGUCGCGGUGAAUACGUUCGGUCUUGUACCCCGCCCGUCACACCAUGGGAGUGGGUUUUACCAGAAGUAGUUAGCUAACCGUAAGGAGGGCGAUUACCACGGUAGGAUUCAUGACUGGGGUGAAGUCGUAACAAGGUAA